This 794-nucleotide long non-coding RNA is filed under the name Dicentrarchus labrax (European seabass). Its description in RNAcentral is "lncRNA (ENSDLAG00005033017.1)". The record is from RNAcentral. Lineage: Eukaryota; Metazoa; Chordata; Actinopteri; Moronidae.
AACCAGAAGCAGCAGGCAUAAAUGUCUCCCAGGCAGCCUGCAUCUGUUUAUUCCAUUUUAUAAAGUGCUGCUGACUGACUGACGUCAGAUCCUGGAGCGUGGGGAUGGAAGGAUUUCAUGGAGUUUGCCAAAUGAGGGCGUAUCCAGACUUUCUGACUGGGGUGGCACAACUUGGGCACUGAUGUGUCUCAGCUUUCCAUUCAUUCCCGAUACAGCCCUCAUGGCCAUCUUCCAGCUCAGAGACAGACUGUCCGUUGCAGCGAGCAGCUCUUCAGGCCUCAGCAGACCAAAGUGGACUACACGCAGACUAUUUCCAUCCUGGUUAACCACCGUUACACUCAUCCUUCUCACGACAGAACAGACAAUUGUGAGAGAUGAUUGUGACAGAUAUGUCCUCACAGGACCAAACCUGUGAGCCUUUAAAAAGUCAUGAAUUCUACAUGCUGGUGGACUGUUUCCUCAAAUAAAUAAAUAAUAAAUAAAUAAAAUUCUGUAUGGAGUAAAGAGCUCAUGCUUACUCUGCAAAUCUUGUAUACUCCUUGUUACAGAAAGACCAUAAUAGCCUCGCCUGCUGUCACUCAGAAUAAAAUCAUGUGAACCUUGUGUGGCAAAAUAUUUCUACCUUCAUUUAUUCAUUCCCUUAAUUGUAUUCUUUGUGCAGUCAUGCAUGUGUGCUGAUGUGUGGAUGAUGGGAGUGUGUUGGUCUAUAUAUGUUCAUAUUUAAGCAUGCGGAUUGUGUUUGGGUUCAUACAUGUGAGCAGGGGUUAUCACUGUGACUUUAACAGCAGUGAUAA